CCUACGGGAUGCUGCAGUAGGGAAUCUUUCACAAUGGGCGAAAGCCUGAUGGAGCAACGCCGCGUGCAGGAUGAAGGCCUUCGGGUUGUAAACUGCUUUUAUAAGCGAGAAAUAUGAUGGUAACUUAUGAAUAAGGAUCGGCUAACUACGUUCCAGCAGCCGCGGUCAUACGUAUGAUCCGAGCAUUAUCCGGAUUGACUGGGUGUAAAGAGUUGCGUAGGUGGCAUAAUAAGUAGCUAGUGAAAUCUGGUGGCUCAACCAUUCAGACUAUUAGCUAAACUGUUAAGCGCGAGACCGUUAGGGGUAACUGGAAUUUCUAGUGUAGGAGUGAAAUCCGUAGAUAUUAGAAGGAACACCAAUAGCGUAGGCAGGUUGCUGGGACGGUUCUGACACUAAGGCACGAAAGCGUAGGGAGCAAACGGGAUUAGAUACCCCGGUAGUC
This 442-nucleotide ribosomal RNA is filed under the name uncultured bacterium. Its description in RNAcentral is "partial 16S ribosomal RNA". It matches the Rfam family "Bacterial small subunit ribosomal RNA", at positions 338 to 795 of the family's 1533-position model. The record is from RNAcentral.